This 640-nucleotide ribosomal RNA is filed under the name Bacillus tequilensis. RNAcentral describes it as "bacterial SSU rRNA". It matches the Rfam family "Bacterial small subunit ribosomal RNA", at positions 112 to 737 of the family's 1533-position model. Lineage: Bacteria; Bacillati; Bacillota; Bacilli; Caryophanales; Bacillaceae. The record is from RNAcentral.
AACACGUGGGUAACCUGCCUGUAAGACUGGGAUAACUCCGGGAAACCGGGGCUAAUACCGGAUGGUUGUUUGAACCGCAUGGUUCAAACAUAAAAGGUGGCUUCGGCUACCACUUACAGAUGGACCCGCGGCGCAUUAGCUAGUUGGUGAGGUAACGGCUCACCAAGGCAACGAUGCGUAGCCGACCUGAGAGGGUGAUCGGCCACACUGGGACUGAGACACGGCCCAGACUCCUACGGGAGGCAGCAGUAGGGAAUCUUCCGCAAUGGACGAAAGUCUGACGGAGCAACGCCGCGUGAGUGAUGAAGGUUUUCGGAUCGUAAAGCUCUGUUGUUAGGGAAGAACAAGUACCGUUCGAAUAGGGCGGUACCUUGACGGUACCUAACCAGAAAGCCACGGCUAACUACGUGCCAGCAGCCGCGGUAAUACGUAGGUGGCAAGCGUUGUCCGGAAUUAUUGGGCGUAAAGGGCUCGCAGGCGGUUUCUUAAGUCUGAUGUGAAAGCCCCCGGCUCAACCGGGGAGGGUCAUUGGAAACUGGGGAACUUGAGUGCAGAAGAGGAGAGUGGAAUUCCACGUGUAGCGGUGAAAUGCGUAGAGAUGUGGAGGAACACCAGUGGCGAAGGCGACUCUCUGGUCUGU